Molecule: ribosomal RNA, 544 nt
Filed under: Hepatozoon sp.
Lineage: Eukaryota; Apicomplexa; Hepatozoidae
Description: bacterial SSU rRNA
Rfam family: Eukaryotic small subunit ribosomal RNA
Source: RNAcentral
ACAUUCUCAACUGUUUUAGAAGAGAAGCAUUUAUUAGAUAAAAAACCAAUAUAUGUUUUUAAAGCAUAAAAUUUGGUGAUUUACAAUAACUAAGCAAAUCGCACAGUGCAAACUGGCGAUAAAUCAUUCAAGUUUCUGACCUAUCAGCUUUCGACGGUAUGGUAUUGGCUUACCGUGGCAGUGACGGUUAACGGGGGAUUAGGGUUCGAUUCCGGAGAGGGAGCCUGAGAAACGGCUACCACAUCUAAGGAAGGCAGCAGGCGCGCAAAUUACCCAAUUCUAACAGCAUAAGAGAGGUAGUGACAAGAAAUAACAGUACAAGGCAGUUAAAAUGCGUUGUAAUUGGAAUGAUAGAAAUUUAAAUACUUUUUAAAGUAUCAAUUGGAGGGCAAGUCUGGUGCCAGCAGCCGCGGUAAUUCCAGCUCCAAUAGCGUAUAUUAAAAUUGUUGCAGUUAAAAAGCUCGUAGUUGAAUUUUUGCUAAAAAUAACCGGUCUGCUUUUAUUAAUAAGAGUGGUAUCUUGGUGUGUUUUUAGCAAUAAUGUC